Molecule: non-coding RNA, 1010 nt
Organism: Paramisgurnus dabryanus
Lineage: Eukaryota; Metazoa; Chordata; Actinopteri; Cypriniformes; Cobitidae
Source: RefSeq, a predicted model, not a curated record
AUGUAGUACUUAUAUUGUAAUUAGGCAAAUGUAUAUUAAAUUACACACACAUAUUUUACAUUUAUGUGAUAAAAAAACAUUACGUACGUGUGUGCAAUUUAAUGUUAUAAUAUACGAAUAACAUGUUAUUAUGAAAAAAAUUAUACAUAAUUAAAGACUGUAUAAUAGUCAGUAAAAGAGAACAUUGAUUAACACUAAUCAUCAGCUCUUUGUGUACAGCACAGCAGGAUGAAGGUGAAUGUCAUCUUCCAGGCAAGAUAAAAGUGUUUAAGGAAAGACCAACUGCAGCAGUGCCUAACUCGGAAAAAGAGCCAGCGUCUGUGAAACUUGGUUCUUUGGCCUUGCAGCAUCUGCCUCUCAUCCUCCAGAAGUUGAGGAGUGUGAAGAAUUGGGGAGGAUGAUGCUACCCACAAAUUCAUCUAAAAGCCCAACUGAAUUCAGAAGUUGUUGGAAUCCCAGUGGUCAAAGGUAGGCAUAAACCACCAGCAACUCUCUCAAAACCAGACAGGCCUGAUGAAUACAGUGCUACUUCAUCUCCACGGCCAGGUCGGUAUAUGGACAUGUACGCGUGCCGACUCGACUGUAAAGAUAUGCCUGUUCCUGAUCAGUGUUAUUGUUUUUCACCAAUUCCCUUUAAUCCAGUGAGGGUUCCUUUGCCAGUACCUCCAGAGUUGUUUAAUUAUCUACAAGCAAGACCACAUCUCCAUUAACACCAGUGCAUGAAACCGUUUUCUGUCAGUUGACCUCUGCACAGUCUACAGACUCUACUUCUCCCUGCAGCUGCUGUCCAGUCUUUCUCAGGACUCCCUGCAGCCUCUUCUGGGUACCCCUCAACUCAAAGUGACUGCCCUCAUGUCUCCUGUUUCUGAAUGUAUGCAUUGUAAUUAUUGUAACAUAAAAAUAUAACUCUGUAUUUUGAUUGUUAUGGAUAUCUGUUUAAUGCAGAAACCACUGUGGUAGUUUAUUAAUUUUGGCACAAUCCUAUUUAUAACUGUACUGUAUACAUUCAC